UUGCUCCCGGAUGUUAGCGGCGGACGGGUGAGUAACACGUGGGUAACCUGCCUGUAAGACUGGGAUAACUCCGGGAAACCGGAGCUAAUACCGGAUAGUUCCUUGAACCGCAUGGUUCAAGGAUGAAAGACGGUUUCGGCUGUCACUUACAGAUGGACCCGCGGCGCAUUAGCUAGUUGGUGGGGUAAUGGCUCACCAAGGCGACGAUGCGUAGCCGACCUGAGAGGGUGAUCGGCCACACUGGGACUGAGACACGGCCCAGACUCCUACGGGAGGCAGCAGUAGGGAAUCUUCCGCAAUGGACGAAAGUCUGACGGAGCAACGCCGCGUGAGUGAUGAAGGUUUUCGGAUCGUAAAGCUCUGUUGUUAGGGAAGAACAAGUGCGAGAGUAACUGCUCGCACCUUGACGGUACCUAACCAGAAAGCCACGGCUAACUACGUGCCAGCAGCCGCGGUAAUACGUAGGUGGCAAGCGUUGUCCGGAAUUAUUGGGCGUAAAGGGCUCGCAGGCGGUUUCUUAAGUCUGAUGUGAAAGCCCCCGGCUCAACCGGGGAGGGUCAUUGGAAACUGGGAAACUUGAGUGCAGAAGAGGAGAGUGGAAUUCCACGUGUAGCGGUGAAAUGCGUAGAGAUGUGGAGGAACACCAGUGCGAAGGCGACUCUCUGGUCUGUAACUGACGCUGAGGAGCGAAAGCGUGGGGAGCGAACAGGAUUAGAUACCCUGGUAGUCCACGCCGUAAACGAUGAGUGCUAAGUGUUAGGGGGUUUCCGCCCCUUAGUGCUGCAGCUAACGCAUUAAGCACUCCGCCUGGGGAGUACGGUCGCAAGACUGAAACUCAAAGGAAUUGACGGGGGCCCGCACAAGCGGUGGAGCAUGUGGUUUAAUUCGAAGCAACGCGAAGAACCUUACCAGGUCUUGACAUCCUCUGACAACCCUAGAGAUAGGGCUUUCCCUUCGGGGACAGAGUGACAGGUGGUGCAUGGUUGUCGUCAGCUCGUGUCGUGAGAUGUUGGGUUAAGUCCCGCAACGAGCGCAACCCUUGAUCUUAGUUGCCAGCAUUCAGUUGGGCACUCUAAGGUGACUGCCGGUGACAAACCGGAGGAAGGUGGGGAUGACGUCAAAUCAUCAUGCCCCUUAUGACCUGGGCUACACACGUGCUACAAUGGACAGAACAAAGGGCUGCAAGACCGCAAGGUUUAGCCAAUCCCAUAAAUCUGUUCUCAGUUCGGAUCGCAGUCUGCAACUCGACUGCGUGAAGCUGGAAUCGCUAGUAAUCGCGGAUCAGCAUGCCGCGG
RNAcentral lists this ribosomal RNA (1295 nucleotides) under Bacillus sp. (in: firmicutes). Its description in RNAcentral is "bacterial SSU rRNA". It matches the Rfam family "Bacterial small subunit ribosomal RNA", at positions 79 to 1362 of the family's 1533-position model. The record is from RNAcentral. Lineage: Bacteria; Bacillati; Bacillota; Bacilli; Caryophanales; Bacillaceae.